GACGAACGCUGGCGGCGUGCUUAACACAUGCAAGUCGAACGGAAAGGCCCUGCUUUUGUGGGGUGCUCGAGCGGCGAACGGGUGAGUAACACGUGAGUAACCUACCCUUGACUUUGGGAUAACUUCAGGAAACUGGGGCUAAUACCGGAUAGGAGCUCCUGCUGCAUGGUGGGGGUUGGAAAGUUUCGGCGGUUGGGGAUGGACUCGCGGCUUAUCAGCUUGUUGGUGGGGUAGUGGCUUACCAAGGCUUUGACGGGUAGCCGGCCUGAGAGGGUGACCGGCCACAUUGGGACUGAGAUACGGCCCAGACUCCUACGGGAGGCAGCAGUGGGGAAUAUUGCACAAUGGGCGGAAGCCUGAUGCAGCAACGCCGCGUGCGGGAUGACGGCUUUCGGGUUGUAAACCGCUUUCGCCUGUGACGAAGCGUGAGUGACGGUAAUGGGUAAAGAAGCACCGGCUAACUACGUG
RNAcentral lists this ribosomal RNA (468 nucleotides) under uncultured bacterium. RNAcentral's name for it is "partial 16S ribosomal RNA". It matches the Rfam family "Bacterial small subunit ribosomal RNA", at positions 28 to 507 of the family's 1533-position model. The record is from RNAcentral.